This 21-nucleotide microRNA is filed under the name Monodelphis domestica (gray short-tailed opossum). Its description in RNAcentral is "Mdo-Mir-216-P2a_3p* (star (passenger))". The record is from RNAcentral. Lineage: Eukaryota; Metazoa; Chordata; Mammalia; Didelphimorphia; Didelphidae.
CAAUUACCCGUAGAGAUUCUG